This 374-nucleotide ribosomal RNA is filed under the name uncultured bacterium. Its description in RNAcentral is "bacterial SSU rRNA". It matches the Rfam family "Bacterial small subunit ribosomal RNA", at positions 28 to 402 of the family's 1533-position model. The record is from RNAcentral.
GACGAACGCUGGCGGCGUGCUUAACACAUGCAAGUCGAGCGGUAAGGCCCUUUCGGGGGUACACGAGCGGCGAACGGGUGAGUAACACGUGGGUGACCUGCCCUCAGCUCUGGGAUAAGCCUGGGAAACUGGGUCUAAUACUGGAUAUGACUCCACGGUGCAUGUCGUGGGGUGGAAAGCCUUGUGCGGCUGAGGAUGGGCCCGCGGCCUAUCAGCUUGUUGGUGGGGNGAUGGCCUACCAAGGCGACGACGGGUAGCCGGCCUGAGAGGGCGACCGGCCACACUGGGACUGAGACACGGCCCAGACUCCUACGGGAGGCAGCAGUGGGGAAUCUUGCGCAAUGGGACGAAAGCCUGACGCAGCGACGCCGCGU